GAAAUGGACCAGGCAGCAUAUCAGACCAAGUAGAAUCUCGGCUAGAGGUUUCUGUUUUGGAUGCCACGUGGACCAAUAGUAUCUUUUUCUCGCAGGUCAGACCAAAUCUUUCCUCCCCUUGUAACAUUAUAAUCUUGGAUUAAACAGAAUUACCCAUCGUUUUACUUACUUUUAAUGAACUCCUUUUCACUGGAUUUUGAUUAGUUCGAGUGCAUGACAAAAUGGUUCAUUUUUUAGAAUAAGAAAUGUAUUUUCGUUUAAAAAAGUUGAAUUAAUUUAUUGAUAAACAUUAAAAAAAAUUAAGUAGAAUAGAUGGGAUAACUAGUUAUAAGAUAAGUUAUAGAUUGAAACACAGCUUGUUUGUUUAUGCAAUGCAAUCAGAACCAUAAGAGUGUGAAAAUGGAUUCCUGCCAUAUAUCCCAACCUCUCUCUCUCUCUCUCUCUCUUUCUGUGAUCAGCCGACGUCUGAUCUGUGAUUUGAUUUUCACCGACCACUUGUUGGCGGGCCCCUACAAUUUGAUGAUUUGUUUGGGCGAUAAAACGCAACGCAUGUUUCUUGCUCAAUCCAAAUACUAACAAAACAUUCUCUGAUGAACACACUCUUUUUAAGAACAGGGCUCGGAGCAUGAUUAUUUCCCCAAAGUUAUUAACUAAGUAGUACUGUGAUUAGUUAACAAAUUCAGAAACUAUUUCUUUUCCUAAUUGAUUUCUGUUGAAUUUGAUCUGAUGGGUAUUGCUGUACACGCAGCACCUGUCCUUUGGUAAAAGCAGAUCAUAGAGGAAGAACAGGGGUUAGUUUUGGUCCAUCUAAUAACGUAAACUGAAGUGGAGAAAGGGACUCGUGUAGCUUCUCAUUUAAUUCUUUGUUUUGGAUGUGGAGCAAGUUUGAGACCCCACACGUCUCCCUCCUAGUAUAUGGUGUUAGAUUCUUCCCCUCUCAGAGUCCACCUCCUUGCUCUUCGGCCAAACAGGUAUGCCCUCUUAAUCAUUUUAGUUGAUGCUUUAUUUGUUUCCACUAUGUGCUUGUGCCCUCCUUCCAGCCAGUAGGAAUACAAAACAUUUUGAUCUCGUAAUUCAGAUUAUUAACGUAAUAUAAUUUAGAUGGUUUGUUUGGACCUACUCCGAAUUUCCCUUUUAAGAUUAGUCCCCUUCGGUUAUAUUUGACCGAAUAUAUAACUAUGUCAUGUGUCAUGAACGACACAUGGAACAAGGUAGAAACGAAAUGGAAUUUUAUGGACAUCACUCAAAAUUCUUUUUUUUUUUUUUAAUUUUUACAUAAAAUAAUAACAAAAACAAUAAAAUUGAAGAAAAUAGAAAAUUAUUGCACGUGGUGUAAUAAAAUUGGGAUUGAUAGGAUAUUUGUUUUUGGCAGUUUGUGUGUCUUAUCUCGUUCAAAUCUGGCUGGCUUCUCCAGCUGCUGCUCUUAUCUCUGUAAACUCAUGACAUGGGUUUGUUUCUCUUUUGAAUUAAGAACUAAGUUUUCAAAAAAAA
RNAcentral lists this long non-coding RNA (1491 nucleotides) under Carica papaya (papaya). RNAcentral describes it as "long non-coding RNA (CPAP_LNC005094)". The record is from RNAcentral. Lineage: Eukaryota; Viridiplantae; Streptophyta; Magnoliopsida; Brassicales; Caricaceae.